RNAcentral lists this transfer RNA (72 nucleotides) under Marmota marmota marmota (Alpine marmot). It matches the Rfam family "tRNA". Rfam says of the family: Transfer RNA (tRNA) molecules are approximately 80 nucleotides in length. Lineage: Eukaryota; Metazoa; Chordata; Mammalia; Rodentia; Sciuridae. RNAcentral also lists the same sequence under 1 other name. The record is from Rfam by way of RNAcentral.
GGAGGUGUAGCUCAAUGGUAGAGUACUUGCCUAGCAUGCAUGAGGUCCUGGGUUUAAUUCCCAGUACCAACA